CACCAUGCCUGGCUAAUUUUUGUAUUUUUAGUAGAGACGGGGUUUCACCAUCUUGGCCAGGCUGGUCUUGAACUCCUGACCUCGUGAUCCACCUGCCUCAACCUCCCAAAGUGCUGAGAUUACAGGCGUGAGCCAUCGCACCUGGCCUUAAAUUCUUUUUUCUUUAUUUUUGUCUGACCGAGUUAACCCAAAGAACUGGUCUUUGAGCUCUGAGAUUGUUUCCUCAGCUUGGUCUUCUGCUGUUAAUACUUCUGAGUGUAUUAUGAAAUUCUUGCAGUGAGGUUUUGUUUUGUUUUGUUUUUUCAGUUCAAUCAGUUUAGUUUGGUUUUCUUUCUUUCUUUCCUUUCUUUCUUCCUUUCUUGAUAGAGUCUUGCUCUGUUGCCCAGGCUGGAGUGCAGUGGCGCAAUCUUGGCUCACUGUAAGCUCCGCCUCCAGGGUUCACGCUAUUCUCCUGCCUCAGCCUCCCGAGUAGCUGGGACUACAGGUGUCUGCCACCACGUCUGGCUAAUUUUUUGUAUUUUUAGUAGAGACGGGGUUUCAUGGUGUUAGCCAGGAUGGUCUCCAUCUCCUGACCUCAUGAUCCGCCCACCUUGGCCUCCCAAAGUGCUGGAAUUACAGGUGUGAGCCAUUGUGCCCUCUCCCCUCCCCUCCCCUCCCCUUCCCUUCCUUUCCCCUCCUUUCCUUUUUCUUUUCUAGUGUGGGUCCUAGGACCGAAGAUCACAUGUUGUCAUGACUCCUGGAACUGCAAAACUUGGAGGUGUACUGGGAGCCCAGGUGGGGGCGCACCAGGGAGGUGCAGGCACCUGCCCAGAGAGAAGGCCUCUCACUGCUCUCAGCCUGGGCCAGCCAGGAGGGGAACCUGUGACCCAUCCAUAGUUCCAUUACCAGGCUACAGCUCCUGGGCCAUCCUCCUGCGGCUGCCUCUGCUCUCCACCCUCCCUGGAGGCUGAUGCUGAAAGAGGGGGCCGGAGGCCUGGGUACUAAUCUCCCUCACUCAUGCACACUCCCUCAACAGAGGGAGUGGGGACGAUAGGGACUAUGAUGUCCUCUGGAUGCCGCCUUCCUGGAUUGUUUGUUUGGAACGUCUCUUCCAUUUCAAGUUUCCCUGUGAUGCUCAUUGAAACCAGAUGGCACUUGCUCAGCAGUUUGGAGGAGAAGACCUGUUCCCCUGCAGAGCGAUGGGGUUUCACCAUGUUGCCCAGGCUGGUCUCAAACACCUAGUCACAAAUAAUCUUCCUGCCUUGGCCUCCCAGAAUGCUGGGACUGCAGUGGGAAUGGAUCUUUGAAAUUGUGGCUGCCCUGAGAAGCCAAGGACACAUAGCAGUUGUACCUCUGCUGGAGCAUCCUGGGAGGUUUCCAGUGAUGGGACUUCCUUUUUGGGUAUGGUCAGACUAGUUGCAUGCCUUUUUAUUUUACUUGUUGCCUAGGUUUCUCCCUCAUGAACUUAUUUCAGUUACCAAAAAAUACUUUGUAGAUAAUGAUGGGGGCUUCUUACAUUGAUGGCCCAGAAACACGGGAAGAUGUAGGUUAACCAGAUGGCCUAGGCACAGAAGCCAUAUCCACACAUUCUAAACAGGGAGAGUGCUGAGAGCACACCCUUUGCUUUAUUUCUGGGAAAAAAAUAUUGCCUCCUUCCCCUAAGAAACUGAUCUGAUUUUUCAGUGUGGCCAUCAAUAUUCGUCUACCCUAAGGAUACUCAACUCUAUUUCAUGUUGUUGUAUACAUAAAGCCUAAGGGUUGGCAAGAGGUUCUGGCUUCACCUAAAAUACUCAUUCACUGGUUGUGAACUCUUUUGUGAGAGGUGGAUUCUGAAAGUGAAUGUGUGGCUCUUGAAUACUGGGAUCAACACCAGCUCUGUUAGCAGCAGAACUUGGGGGAUUUCAGGGAAAGAGACCUGGGGCAACAAAGGGAGGGUAGAUGGGCAGAGCAGGGGUGAGUGGGGCGGAGCUGGAAUGGGGAAGGCCAAGGUAAAAUGGACUGAGAGCUGAGACUAGCUGAGCAGCCCUGGUCUGCAUGGCUGGGGCAAGGCUGGCUCAAUCUCGGCUCACUGCAACUUCCAUCUCCUGGGUUCAAGCAAUUAUCCUGCCUCAUCCUCCUGAGUAGCUGGUUCUACAGGUGCCUGCCCCCAGGCCCAGCUAAUUUUUGUAUUUUUAGUAGAGACGGGUUUUCACCUCGUUGACCAGGAUGGCCUUGAUCACUUGGCCUUAAGUGAUCCAUCCAC
Molecule: long non-coding RNA, 2221 nt
Filed under: Piliocolobus tephrosceles (Ugandan red Colobus)
Lineage: Eukaryota; Metazoa; Chordata; Mammalia; Primates; Cercopithecidae
Description: lncRNA (ENSPTEG00000036892.1)
Source: RNAcentral